GCCCGGUUGGCUCAGUUGGUAGAGCGUGUGACUCUUAAUGGCGCCUGUCGGAUUCAGGAACCUAGAGGGGAUCUCAAGGUCGCGAGUUCGAGUCUCGCACCGGGCU
Molecule: non-coding RNA, 106 nt
Organism: Tirmania nivea
Lineage: Eukaryota; Fungi; Ascomycota; Pezizomycetes; Pezizales; Pezizaceae
Source: the annotation of a GenBank genome assembly